This is a long non-coding RNA of Rhodamnia argentea, 270 nucleotides long. RefSeq lists it as uncharacterized. Lineage: Eukaryota; Viridiplantae; Streptophyta; Magnoliopsida; Myrtales; Myrtaceae. The record is from RefSeq and is a predicted model, not a curated record. The transcript has 2 exons.
UUGGUGAAUGAUGAAGUUGUUUGUUCCAUGGAGACACUGAUGUUCAAUGCUUAUUUGCACAUGGUACUUUCGAUAUUGUGCUUGAUUGAGGAUAUUACUGGUCAAGUAAUACAAAGUUUUUUAUGGAGAUGGAAGAGUGCAAGGUAUCUAGAAGUAGAUUGGGAGAGUCUGCUUACUGAUGGUGAUGUUGUAAAAUUUGGGAUUGUCUUAGUUGAAUUGGAGAAAUAAAACUGUCAUUUUGUCUGCCUUGGGUGCAUAUGUUUCGUGUAA